This 433-nucleotide ribosomal RNA is filed under the name uncultured bacterium. Its description in RNAcentral is "partial 16S ribosomal RNA". It matches the Rfam family "Bacterial small subunit ribosomal RNA", at positions 29 to 507 of the family's 1533-position model. The record is from RNAcentral.
AACGAACGCUGGCGGCAUGCCUAACACAUGCAAGUCGAACGAAGGCUUCGGCCUUAGUGGCGCACGGGUGCGUAACGCGUGGGAAUCUGCCCUUUGGUUCGGAAUAACAGCUGGAAACGGCUGCUAAUACCGGAUGAUGACGAAAGUCCAAAGAUUUAUCGCCAGAGGAUGAGCCCGCGUUGGAUUAGGUAGUUGGUGGGGUAAAGGCCUACCAAGCCGACGAUCCAUAGCUGGUCUGAGAGGAUGAUCAGCCACACUGGGACUGAGACACGGCCCAGACUCCUACGGGAGGCAGCAGUGGGGAAUAUUGGACAAUGGGCGCAAGCCUGAUCCAGCAAUGCCGCGUGAGUGAUGAAGGCCCUAGGGUUGUAAAGCUCUUUUACCCGGGAAGAUAAUGACUGUACCGGGGGAAUAAGCCCCGGCUAACUCCGUG